GACAGAGGUGCCGAGCGUUAGGCGGAAUCACUGGGCUUAAAGCGUGUGUAGGCGGGUCGUUAAGUGCCUUGUGAAAUCCCACAGCUCACCUGUGGAACUGCUGGGCAUACUGGCGAUCUUGAGCCACUUAGGGGCAACCGGAACAAACGGUGGAGCGGUGAAAUGCGUAGAUAUGCGGAGGAACACCGAUGGCGAAGGCAAUCCCCUGGACCUGUACUGACGCUCAUGCACGAAAGCGUGGGGAGCAAACAGG
Molecule: ribosomal RNA, 253 nt
Filed under: uncultured bacterium
Lineage: Bacteria
Description: partial 16S ribosomal RNA
Rfam family: Bacterial small subunit ribosomal RNA
Source: RNAcentral